ACGGAGCGGCGAACGGGUGAGUAACACGUGGGCAACCUGCCCUCAGCUCUGGGACAACUCCGGGAAACCGGGGCUAAUACCGGAUACGACAUCGGACUGCAUGGUCUGGUGUGGAAAGUUUUUCGGCUGGGGAUGGGCCCGCGGCCUAUCAGCUUGUUGGUGGGGUGGAGGCCUACCAAGGCGACGACGGGUAGCCGGCCUGAGAGGGCGACCGGCCACACUGGGACUGAGACACGGCCCAG
Molecule: ribosomal RNA, 242 nt
Filed under: uncultured bacterium
Lineage: Bacteria
Description: partial 16S ribosomal RNA
Rfam family: Bacterial small subunit ribosomal RNA
Source: RNAcentral